RNAcentral lists this ribosomal RNA (646 nucleotides) under uncultured bacterium. RNAcentral describes it as "bacterial SSU rRNA". It matches the Rfam family "Bacterial small subunit ribosomal RNA", at positions 74 to 700 of the family's 1533-position model. The record is from RNAcentral.
CGGAGCUUGCUCCACCGAAAGAAAAAGAGUGGCGAACGGGUGAGUAACACGUGGGUAACCUGCCCAUCAGAAGGGGAUAACACUUGGAAACAGGUGCUAAUACCGUAUAACACUAUUUUCCGCAUGGAAGAAAGUUGAAAGGCGCUUUUGCGUCACUGAUGGAUGGACCCGCGGUGCAUUAGCUAGUUGGUGAGGUAACGGCUCACCAAGGCAACGAUGCAUAGCCGACCUGAGAGGGUGAUCGGCCACACUGGGACUGAGACACGGCCCAGACUCCUACGGGAGGCAGCAGUAGGGAAUCUUCGGCAAUGGACGAAAGUCUGACCGAGCAACGCCGCGUGAGUGAAGAAGGUUUUCGGAUCGUAAAACUCUGUUGUUAGAGAAGAACAAGGAUGAGAGUAAAACGUUCAUCCCUUGACGGUAUCUAACCAGAAAGCCACGGCUAACUACGUGCCAGCAGCCGCGGUAAUACGUAGGUGGCAAGCGUUGUCCGGAUUUAUUGGGCGUAAAGCGAGCGCAGGCGGUUUCUUAAGUCUGAUGUGAAAGCCCCCGGCUCAACCGGGGAGGGUCAUUGGAAACUGGGAGACUUGAGUGCAGAAGAGGAGAGUGGAAUUCCAUGUGUAGCGGUGAAAUGCGUAGAUAUAUG